AGGCAUGAGCCCCUGGGCCCAGCCGACUGUUUAAUGUUCUUAAAUAGCACAAGGGACUUCUAUGAACUUUCCUAGAUGAAAUAUUAACUACUAGGUAAAACACCUGUUUGAUACUGCAAAGGUUUAUUUCUGAAACUUAAACCUCAUGAUUGGCCAACCAAGAACUUUUUCUUCACAGCAUGCUUUAAUAAUGAAAUGCAGAUUAAGAGUCCAACAUUAUAACAUUUCCACAAAAGAAAGAAUCCAUCUGAUUCUCAACUCUGAAUGCACAUUUGAAUUCCCUCGGGGAGCUUUUAAAAAUCUGAUGCCCCAGUGUACCCCCCAGUUAAUUAAAUAAUUCUCUGGGGAUGAGAACUGACAGCAACACUUAAGCUUCCUGGGAGACUGCAGUAUGCAGCCGAGGCCCACUCCUCCAGCGUCACCACCUCGUCUUUAUUUUAUUUAUCUAUAUCUGCCACUGUGUCUCCUCAUGGCCCACAGCCUUAGCAACAGCAAAAGUAGAAUUCAAACCUUGGUAAUCAAGGAUUAAAUUAUUACUGUUCAUGACCUCAAUUGAAAAUGAUUACUGGUGACCACAGCACUCCAUGCUCUUCCUUAUGGAAAAAGGGUUGCCUAGAAGAUUUAGGCAAUACUGGGAGUUCUUAUUUGAAGUCACAGAAAGGAGAAACUUUUCUCAAGCCGUUUUUAUUACACUCAGUGUAUUAAGACAAGUACAAAAUAACCUUGUAAUUAAGAUACUGUAUCAGUCAAAAAAGAAGUCACUAUUGUAUGAAGAGAUUUACAAAUGACUAAAAUAUACAGGCUGUGACAGAAUUAACAGUUUGAAAGAGGGCUGCUUUUUUCUUUUAGAAAUGCUAAAUUUUCUUAACAAGACAAAAAUACAGUGCUCUAAAUAUGCAUUACCAUGAAAACAUUAAAGAAAAGCAGUCUUAACACUUUACUAUUAACAGCCUUUGCCAACACAUGCCUGCCUACUCCCUUUCCUAACUUUAAAGAACAGCUUCCUCUAAGGAAUACUAGUGCAGCACAACCCUUAAAUAAUUUCAUUUAUUUUUAAAGUUACAACCUACAGAGAAAUUAACAUCUUGUCAAUCUAAUAACAGUGGCAACCAUUCUUCACAUGCACUUCUCUUAGAAUAAAUCCCCUUGGCUGGCAGGAUAAGGCUAAUGCUGUAGAACCUUCUCCCCGACAGCCACAAAUCCCCUUCUGUAAGUCCCUCCUACCCUCAUCCCCCCGCAUCCCCACUGGCAUUCACCUUUCCCACCCCAAAAAGUGCAGCUCAUGGUAGCCUUCUAGAAAAUGGUUUUAAUGGGUAUCCCAGCAUACACGCUUUUUUAAAAGCCCCCUCUGAACACCAGAGGUGGUGAAAAUGAAUUGUGUUCUUGGAUUUUUUUUUUUUUUAAGCCUCCACUGGGUCAAAAAUAUGUGCUCCUAAUACUUGAGUUUUUGCUUUGUGUGUGGGUUUUCUUUUUCAUUUAGAUAUCGUGGGAUAAAGUGGAGAGGACAUCUCCAUUUUCCCAUACACAUUGAGGGUGAGAAGAGAAAGAGAAGCAAGUUGUUGCCCCCACUUUGGCCUGGCUUCCCAGCCAUCUUCCCAGCUCUGUUCUUUCAUAGGAACUAGUUAUUGCUUCCACAAUGCCGUUAUACGGAAUGUUCCACAAAGGCUGUGAACCUGGUCACAGUCUACCCGCAACAACUCUGCUCUGAAAAACCAGCCCAAGAGCUCUUACCCAGAAGAACAAUCUUUAGCCCUCAAGGUCACUGAAACUUCAUUAGAGCAGUUCAGAGUAGACGUGUAAGAUUUGGCAUAUAUUAAAUGAUUAUUGGCACAAUGUUCUCCAGUUCCAUGUAUAAAUGUUGAUAUGCACAUGGGCCAGGGCCCAAGAUGAAUCAGCCAAUCUGCACCAUUUUUAUGUCAGCAAUAAUUCCAUCUCUGCCCUUUGAGCACUGUAGGGAGAGCUGCUUCAUCCGGUUCUCCAAGGCCUGGCCCUCAGGGGAGAUGCUGCUUUGGCUCUUACUGCUGCCACCACUGCCACUGCUAUUGCUGAGGCCCCGGUUGUUGUUGGCUUUGUCACUUGUUUUAUUCUCUGCCCCUUCUGCCCUGUCUCCUAUAGAAAUACAAGGAUUAUCAAAAGUGAGUAUUGACAAUUCUGCCCUGUCUCCUAUAGAAAUACAAAGAUUAUCAAAAGUGAGUACUGACAAUUCUAAGUCACUUGAGCUCAAACCAGUCAGCUAACUCAGCCCUGUAGAAUUCCCACUGUUGCCUACCGUGCCUAUCAGAGAGGUUCUUAGUACAUAAUCAUUUACUGCUUUUAUUCCUUGUGAUGUUUUAUAUAUUCCUUAGCUAUAGAAAUGAAAUUUGCCAUAUUCACUUUAUAGCUGAGAAACAAACCUCUCUGCUAUGUGCUUGCCAAGGAGACUGUUCUGAUGUGAGACAUAGGACCUAAGCUCUACUUUAUAGAAGCUGAGUGGAGCCAGGAGCACCCCCAGAACAGCACUUGGAAACAACCUCAGUGAUCAAUACUGACAGCACAACCACAGAGACCUGGUAAUGCAGCAUGGGGGCCCUGAGACCUGGCAGAGGUACGGAACGGCACAACAGUCAGGCUACAGAGGCAUUGUGGCAUCUGGGACGGGGUGAGAAGGCCGCUACUCACCUCGUUCUACUUCACAUUCAGGGGAGGAGGCCCCGCUGCAUUCACUUCGAGGGCCCAACACUGGGAACAUCAUCCCAAACUCUGACAGGGACACAGGGCUGGGCAGAUCCAGGCUGCCAGGCCUCACAACCGCAGGGAACUGGUCAGGCAUCUCAGACGGGCUUGUUGGUCCUGAACUAAAGCUGGACACAGACUGGGUUUCCGAGUCAUCUUCAGACACAAAGUUGCUACAGCUGUCAUCUUCAAAGGCCUCCGAGGCCACUAAGUUGAGAGAGAACACCAGUCACAUGGGUUCUGUCACCUCAAACACCGCAAGUGCUUGCUGCUGGAAGGCAGCUAGACACAGCAUGGGGAUUGCAGAAUCUCUACCUCUGUGAGUGCCUAAUGAAGGAAUGUGACUUCCCAAGCCUGGAUGACCAGCCUCUAAAGCAGCUGGAAGGGAAGCAGCUGGCAGCUGGAUCCCAUGGAUAUUAAGCGCCCUUCCAAUAACCUUAUAACCCUGCCAAGAAAUCAGUGUCACCAGACACCACCUUAAAAUGGAAGAUUAAUUCAGCCACAAAUUAGGACCUUUACUCCACCUCAGUCCCCCAAAUAGAUCCUCAUGUGCACAGGAAGAGGUUCUAGUCCUCUGUAACAUAUCCCAAACAAAGCCAGCUGGACUCAGGCUUCUUUCUUAGGGCAAUAGAAGCAAGAGCUGCUAGAAGAAACAGGCCAGCAUGGAGUAUCUGUUGGGACCUUUGUUAUCUUCCAGAAUCCUGACUUUGAGGAACACUUAGUACCAUCUUAAUGAACACAGAGUGUUCCAUAAAACAUGGGAACCCACCAGAAACAGCCCUCAGGCCUGCCCAACUCUGAGACCUUUCACUGAUGGCCAGAGAAAGUGAGGACCUUGGGAAACAAAUCACACAGUCUGAUAUCUCCCCACGUACCCAGUGGAGCCCCUGACUUACCAGAAAUGGCAUCAGGCUCAGGUUUGCUCCCUGGCAGAUCCUCCACAGAUGUGCUGCUGCCCUCAGCACCAACACCGCAUCCCCGAGGCCCCAUGGCACUGGAGCGCCGCCGCUCGUGGAUCUCAUCUGAGAUCAUCUCCAGGUUCUUCAGGGCCAUCUUAUAUUCGCCUUUUGCCAGGGUCAGUUUGGCCUGCAGGUCGUCCACAGUCUUUUUCAGUUGCUGGUCAAGAGAACAGGAGACUAAGUGAAGACUACCCUGCUAGCCUUAAGAUGCUUUCUGAAUGACAGGUUCAAGUACAUUUUCUGCCCAUCAUUCUACUUCAAGGAAUUUUCCAAGACAUGACUGAAGACCUGAUUACCAUUAUAACUGCUAUUCAUUCACCAGACAAAAUCAGCCACCACCAUCCCCAGAUCCCAUCCAGGUGACAACCUCUAAUAUCCAAAAACUCUCACUGGUGGAAUAAACCCCAUCAGGGAAGCAAAAAUGGGCAUCAGACACACCAAAGUCCCACAGUCUAGACAUCUGGUUCCCAGUACAGUGGUUCUCAAACUUGAGCUUGCAUCAAAAUCCCCUUGGGUGUUAAGACUCAGCUCACUAGACUCCAACCUCAGCGUUUCUAAUUCAGUCAGUCUAGAGUGGGACCUGGUCUAUCAGGUCUCCAGGUGAUGCUGAUGCUGCUGGUCCUAAGAGCACGCUGUGAGAACCACUGGCCUAGUACAACAGAGAAAGUGACUGAACGGCAGUUACAGAGGUUCAGAGACCACUGAAGACCCAACCGAGACAAUUUUGAGGUCUGAAAACUCAGUAAAGCCUGUCUCUCCACUUUCCCCUAUAGCAAGUGGCCCAUGUGAUAUUCUGCUAACCCAGAAAAGUGAAGCUUUGAGUGCAGAAAAAUCUCAUCAGUGACGAAGCCCAAAGCUACACAUACCUCGAGCUGCACGUAGUACUUUGCCUUGAGUUCAAAAUAAGGCCUGCAGAAGACAGGAAGGAAAGCCAUCAGAGUAAUAUAAUAUAGUGACCACAAUCAACUCCACAAGAUGAACAAGAGGCAUCAGCUACCACUGGCCAGGUCGUCCUUCCAAUAUUUAGUAAACUCUUAACAAGGCCAUGACAUGUGAGUGAUGCUCCUAGCUCUGGAGACUGACAGACACCAGAUGGAAUGACUGGGCUCACCCAGGGCUAUAUUAACAGGAGGCCCAUCUCAAGACACGGGGAACCCACACACACAUAUCUUGGGGACUCUGCAAUCUAGCUCAUGUUCCUCCUUUGUGGGAAGGCUGUUCAGAGCCUCACAGGUUAUACCCAGCAGUAAGGGUGGUCUGGAUCUGCUCUUCUAAUGAAGUUGGCUCCCCAGGGAUGAAGAGCAGAUGAGGCUGGAGAAGGGGCUGCUUAAACCUCUUCCUCUACUGAAGUCAACUGGGGAAGAGAGAGAAGCACCACUCCUCCCUCACAGCACAGCAAGGCCACCACUAGGAGGGGGUCUCAGGUUGGUCCUCCCGAACCUUGUCCAAAGACUGGAGUUAUUAGUUGGCCGACUCAGCCACAUAAUGGGCACAAGAAAUGCCGGCAUCCUAGCAGUUCCCUUGGUUCUGGGUCAGCCGAAAGAGCUUGGCUCUUUUUUAGGAACUUUGGUGCCUGAACAUUAAGAGUAGAUCACUGCUUUAUUCUUGAGCUGUUCACCCUCCAUGAAGCUCUCAAGUCCUGCAUCCUGAGGAUCCAGAUGGAUGACAAGGACACAGGACUGCCAUUGAGAAAUGAAGAUGAACUGUGUCCCAGAUGCAGUGGAUGACUGACUGCCCUGUAAUAGUCCAUUUUGUAUCUGUUGGUAAUUCAUUGAGGCAUUCUUGGUUUUCUAUGAGUUUGUAUUUUUUGAAUUCAAGAAUUGUAACAUCGCUGUUAGAUCCCUCCUUAUUUAAUGAGAAAUAAAAUAUUUGACACGAGAACA
Molecule: non-coding RNA, 5554 nt
Filed under: Pongo abelii (Sumatran orangutan)
Lineage: Eukaryota; Metazoa; Chordata; Mammalia; Primates; Hominidae
Source: RNAcentral